CCUGAACCGCGUCGUUUUGAAUCAAACAAUUUUCACUUCAGAACUCCCCUAAUUGAAACCCUAAAACAGCCGAGCUUUACCCUCAAUCACAGAUUACAACAGCAAUAAAUCCUGACUGUAAUCGACGAAAUUUUUACCGCUGCACUUCAAUUGGAGUUCAUAGAAGAUGUCGACGAUUUACGUUUUGGAGCCGCCGACGAAGGGGAAGGUGAUAAUAACCACGUCGUACGGUCCACUGGACAUCGAGCUCUGGCCCAAGGAGGCGCCCAAGGCCGUCCGCAACUUCGUACAGCUGUGUCUCGAAGGCUACUACGACGACACCGUUUUCCACCGAGUCAUUAAGUCAUUUCUCGUUCAAGGAGGUGAUCCCACCGGCACCGGUGAAGGCGGUCAGAGUAUAUAUGGCGGUGUUUUUCCCGAUGAAUUUCAUUCUCGUCUAAGAUUCAAGCACAGGGGUUUGCUUGCAUGUGCGAGUGCUGGCACACCUAAUACAAAUGGUAGCCAGUUCUUUAUGACCUUGGAUCGUUGUGACUGGCUUGACAAGAAGCAUACAAUAUUUGGAAAAGUAACUGGAGAUUCAAUUUAUAAUCUGUUACAGUUAGGGGAAGUAGAGACUGGUAAAGAUGAUAGGCCUCUGGACCCACUUCCGAAAAUACUUUCUGUUGAGGUGUUAUGGAAUCCGUUUGAUGACAUCAUCCCAAGGAGAAUGCAGGCAAAGUCUUUACCAUCCUUGGAAAAGAAAGAAACACAGCAGAAGGUUACCAAAAAGUUGAACUUGCUUUCAUUUGGUGAAGAAGCUGAAGAAGAGGAGAAGGAACUCGCAGCUGUCAAUACUAGAAUAAGAAGUAGUCAUGAUGUUUUGAAUGACCCCCGCCUCCUGAAGGAAGACCUUGACAAUGAUCUGAACUCAGCUCAAGGCCAAAAAUCAAAGGAUGCGCAAUUAAUGGUGAGAGAAGCUCUAAGCUCAAAGAAAGAGCAUCGAGAAGAAUUAGGAGGUGGAUUAUCUGAGUCUCCUGAUAAUAGUGAUGAAGAUGACGGUAACUUCGAUGCCCGAAUGCGGCAGCAGAUACUAAAAAGAAGAAAAGAGCUUGGGGACCUACCAAAUAAGAAAGAAUUGCCUGAUGAUGCGCAUGUAGGUUCACGGAAACGCACAGGAUCUCCACCAAGGUCAAAUGUGGACAACCGUAAUGAAAGGCCAAAAGCGACUAAACUGUCGUUGAAGAAAAAAGGAAUAGGCUCCGAAGCCAGGGCUGAACGUAUGGCUAAUGCAGACGCUGAUUUACAGUUGCUUGGAGAAGCAGAACGAGAAAGACAGCUGCAGAAGCAGAAACGACGCAGGCGUCAGGGGCAAGAAGAUGAGAUUCUAGCGAAACUUCAGAAUUUCAAGUCAGCCGUCUCAGCCAAAGCUGAAGGAUCAAGUGGUGCUAAGGAUGAUGAUUUGUCAGAUUGGAUGGGAGUUGAGCUAAAGUUUGCUCCUGAGCAUGGCAAGGUAAUAUUGUAUUUAUUGCAUGUAGGUUUUGGACUAUUCUACAGAAACACAGAAAUUAACACUGCGUUUUGGACUAUUCUACAGAAUAAUAUGUCGCGCAGCAACGAUCCGAAUGACUACGUAGUGCAUGACCCUCUUCUGGAGAAAGGAAAAGAGAAGUUCAACAAAAUGCAGGCAAAGGAAAAGCGCAGACAACGAGAAUGGGCCGGAAAGUCUCUUACUUGAACUAAUUUAAGCUUCUUAAAAUAAACAUUUGAAAACAGCUUCUCACACAAUUUUCCGAACAAAGGUUAAGUUUUUCAGAGUAUCAGCCUCGUUUGUGUUUAUGCUCAUGAACUGUGCAAGAUGUACACAUAUACGCCAUCAAUUGGACAUGUUAAAUACGUAUUUAAUACUGUUUGUGCAUAUGAUUUUAUAUGUUUUUUUUUAGAUAGUUGCUAAUGCAAGAUUUUGCAGCUUCAAUAUUCUCUCUCCUCCAAUUAGGUGUUUUAUAUCCACCAGCAGCCAUGUGGCUAGUUUGUCACUACAUGAAUGUAAGUGUCACAUGAUAUUGAAUUAAACAAGAGGGCAGAAUCUGGAUCAUGAACUUGGCAGAAUGCACAUGGUUUUCAUUGACUAUUUCAUGUCUGUCAUAUAUAUAUAUAUAUAUAUAUACUGUAUGUAUAUAUAUAUAUAUAUACUGUAUGUAUCUUUGAGUUCUCCCAUUGUGUGCUAUUGAUAGCUGUUACCGCGUGGAGCAAAGAACAUACUCUCAAAUCUCAAUACAGCAUAUGUCUGGAAAAGCAUAUAGCAAUAAGCAAUUUGGUCUCCACUUGGAAUCACCAUUUCGAAAUGCGCAUUUGAGUUUGUUCAAAUUGUAGAAAUUCAUAGGAAGGAGUGAAAACUUUGACUUUUCAUUUCGUAAUUGGAAAUUGGUUUGUUAACAAUUUGUUGGAAUUGGCUUCUUUAAAACAUUUUUUUUUUUCA
Molecule: non-coding RNA, 2455 nt
Organism: Erythranthe guttata (spotted monkey flower)
Lineage: Eukaryota; Viridiplantae; Streptophyta; Magnoliopsida; Lamiales; Phrymaceae
Source: RefSeq, a predicted model, not a curated record